CUCAUAAUAGCUCUAAAAUUUAUUUUUAUGUCCUUCAGAAUUCAAAAGGGUGAUCUGUUUUGCUAAUUUGGGGGAAAACUCUCGUAGUCUAUACUCAAGAACAGUUAAUACUUUACAGUGAACUCAAAUCCCUCAGCACUGUAGGUUGAGAGCUUCUGAUGAUGUAGUCAGGGGAGGCUCUUUUCUGGUGAGAGUCAUUGAUUACACAGCAUCCAUCACUAGUAACAGACAGAGCAGAUGCUAUUUUCAAAUUCUUUAAGUCACUUUCUAUUUUAGGAUCAGGAAAGAUCUACACUGUGUUAUGGAAAAGUAGGUUCUUGUUUCAUUGCAGAAAGGAUUCAGAGACAGACACAGAGGUCAAGAAGAUAAAGUGAGGAUUUACUGAGCGAUGGACAGCACACUCUGAAGAGGGGAGCGGGCAGGCUCAGUUGGGACACAAGUGGUGGAGGGAUUCCCGAAAUAUUUAUGAAGGACAAACACUGUCUCCGGAGGCCUCUGGUGUCCCCAUAAUUUCAUAAAGAUGAUUCUGAAGUGGUUCAACUACCAUCGAAAAUCAUGAUUUUGAAUAUUACAGAAUCCGGGGAUGCUUUUAUAAUCCUCUCUUGGGAUUUUCCAUGGACAUUCCUUCCUCUACAGUCUCCUUGAACUUUGCUUGUCCUGAGGGCUCCACUCACCACCCACAGCUCAAGCCACCGUGUGCGGUACCUGGGAGUGAUCGGUCCCCACCUUCUACACAGUUACACUCUUCUCUUCCAUCUGACUUGAACGUUCAACAAACUUCUGGACUUUUAGGUCUAAAUAAUGCACAGAUAUCUCAACAUCAGGGCAUCUAAACUCUCCCAGUUUUACCUGUUCCUUCUAAAUAUACGACAUCAUUGUUCCUGAGAAUUUUUCUGAUGAGUCCUUUGUUCCCUGCAUCCCACAUCCAGUCAGGGAACAGGUCUUGCCAAGUGGGCCUCCUGGGUACUUGUCAAGUCACCUCCUCUCCUAACCCCACUCCAGGUAGCUGAAUUCACCAGCUGAAAUGCCCUUCUUACUUGUUACUCUGCCUCCAGUUCUGUCCCACUCAAAUGCUUCACCCAUUAUCAAAAUGAUCUUUAUAACAAGGAAAAUGGUCCAUGUUACCUCUUUUUAAAGCUUCUCUUUGAUUCCUGGAGGCCCCACCCUGACGUGGCGAUCAGAGUCCACUCCUGCUCGGGAGGCCCUGGGUUGAGGAGCUCUCCGCUCAUCUUUCUCCCAACCCCAUCUUCUGAUUGUUGCCGUUGCAAAACCAAGAUGGCAACUUUUCCCUGCGCAUGGCA
Molecule: non-coding RNA, 1301 nt
Organism: Vicugna pacos (alpaca)
Lineage: Eukaryota; Metazoa; Chordata; Mammalia; Artiodactyla; Camelidae
Source: RefSeq, a predicted model, not a curated record